GUGACUGCGUGCUCGUAGGGUGCACCGGGCCCGGGGCCCGGGCAGGCGGUUUGUGACUCUCAGUGCUACUGUAACACAGCAACCAUUGCUGCUGCCGCUACUACCAAUAAAACAGAUUUGUUAAUGUUGUAAUUGUGAUCAUCUGCUUAGAAAGCUUGGCGUGUUCCAAGGCAGAUGACCCUGGUUUACAUUUGCUCGUGUCAAAGGCACUGCAUGCUACAGACAGAGCUGACCGAAACCAACAGUGUGCUUCACAAAUACCGAUGGAGGGUGAAAAUACAAAAGCAACAUCUAAAGGGAAAUUUUCCACGCACAGGCAUACUGGAAAGAGAAGAGCCUUCGUCAGUGACUCACCAGCGAGGCACGCUGCGCCAGCACCAGGGAAUCACCAGAAGAGCUGAGAACUACCCUGGGCAAAGAAGAGCUGUUUGUCUUUAUGAUGGCUGGCACUUAACCACAAACCAAGACACUUCCAGUCUGGCAUUCAUCUCUAGGGUCUGCAGACAGCACCAUGGCUGUGAAGAGUAGGGGCUGCUUGGUGAUGCCAAGCUGAAGGAGAGCCCCCAGUCACUAUCACCAAGCCAUGAACAAUGGUGGGACCAGGCCUGCUCCAGGGCCCAACAGACGUGAGUGAGCUUUGUGCAGGCGCACACACAUCAGAUGUCCUUCCUGGCAGGGCAGGGUGCCCUGUAACCUCAGGGGGCUGUCACAGGGCGAGAUGAGGCUUUAGAGUGGCACUUGUGUUUUAGAAAUAGGGGAUUCAAGUUACCGCUUCUCCCAGGCUUACUGCCCACUAUGGAUGGCCGCAGUAGGCAAUCUCCUCCAGCACUGCCCUGUGUGCACAGAGCACUGACCUGGCUUGCACAUGGCACUGCCGCUGUCGGAGCGUCCAGAGCUCUCCCGUGCGGUGGAUCAGGGCUCCUCUGCCCACACUUGCACUGAAGUCAUGAAGCAAGGUGAGCACACUGCCAUGCCAAGGGACAUGCUACGUCUCAGUAACCUGCUGUGGCAGCAGCUGUGUUACCUGCAAAG
This 1032-nucleotide long non-coding RNA is filed under the name Numida meleagris (helmeted guineafowl). Its description in RNAcentral is "lncRNA (ENSNMEG00000018571.1)". The record is from RNAcentral. Lineage: Eukaryota; Metazoa; Chordata; Aves; Galliformes; Numididae.